This 301-nucleotide ribosomal RNA is filed under the name uncultured bacterium. RNAcentral's name for it is "partial 16S ribosomal RNA". It matches the Rfam family "Bacterial small subunit ribosomal RNA", at positions 509 to 807 of the family's 1533-position model. The record is from RNAcentral.
CAGUCGCCACGGUAAUACGUAGGGUGCAAGCGUUAAUCGGAAUUACUGGGCGUAAAGCGUGCGCAGGCGGUUUCUUAAGUCUGAUGUGAAAGCCCCCGGCUCAACCGGGGAGGGUCAUUGGAAACUGGGAAACUUGAGUGCAGAAGAGGAGAGUGGAAUUCCACGUGUAGAGGUGAAAUGCGUAGAUAUCGGAAGGAACACCUGUGGCGAAAGCGGCUCACUGGACCAUUUCUGACGCUGAUGCACGAAAGCUAGGGGAGCAAACAGGAUUAGAUACCCCGGUAGUCCCUGUCUCUUAUAC